This 619-nucleotide ribosomal RNA is filed under the name Psiloboletinus lariceti. RNAcentral's name for it is "partial large subunit ribosomal RNA". It matches the Rfam family "Eukaryotic large subunit ribosomal RNA", at positions 73 to 650 of the family's 3401-position model. The record is from RNAcentral. Lineage: Eukaryota; Fungi; Basidiomycota; Agaricomycetes; Boletales; Suillaceae.
GAUUCCCCUAGUACUGCGAGUGAAGCGGGAAAAGCUCAAAUUUUGAAUCUGGCGGUCCGAGAGGGCCGUCCGAGUUGUAAUCUAGAGAAGCGUCUUCCGCGCUGGACCGUGUAUAAGUUUCCUGGAAUGGAACGUCGCAGAGGGUGACAAUCCCGUCUUUGACACGGACUCCCAGGGCUUAUGUGAUGCGCUCUCGACGAGUCGAGUUGUUUGGGAAUGCAGCUCAAAUAGGGUGGUAAAUUCCAUCUAAAGCUAAAUAUUGGCGAGAGACCGAUAGCGAACAAGUACCGUGAGGGAAAGAUGAAAAGAACUUUGGAAAGAGAGUUAAACAGUACGUGAAAUUGCUGAAAGGGAAACGUUUGAGGUCAGUCGCGUCGACCGGGGGUCAGCCUUGCUUUCAUCGCUCGGCGUACUUCCUGGUCUGACGGGUCAGCAUCGGUUUCGAUCGUCGGAAAAGGGCUCGAGUAAUGUGGCACUCUUCGGGGUGCGUUAUAGACUUGGGCCAUCUUAAUACGAUGGUUGGGACCGAGGAACUCAGCACGGCCUUAGGGUUCGGGGCCCCUUAUGGGGCCCACGUUUAGCGUGCUUAGGAUGCUGGCAUAAUGGCCUUAACCGACCC